Molecule: ribosomal RNA, 254 nt
Filed under: uncultured bacterium
Lineage: Bacteria
Description: partial 16S ribosomal RNA
Rfam family: Bacterial small subunit ribosomal RNA
Source: RNAcentral
UACGGAGGGUGCAAGCGUUAAUCGGAAUUACUGGGCGUAAAGCGCGCGUAGGCGGUUUUUUUAAGUCGGAUGUGAAAGCCCCGGGCUCAACCUGGGAACUGCAUCCGAUACUGGAAGACUAGAAUGCGGGAGAGGGAGGUAGAAUUCCAUGUGUAGCAGUGAAAUGCGUAGAUAUAUGGAGGAAUACCAGUGGCGAAGGCGGCCUCCUGGCUCGACAUUGACGCUGAGGUGCGAAAGCGUGGGGAGCAAACGGG